This 429-nucleotide ribosomal RNA is filed under the name uncultured bacterium. RNAcentral describes it as "bacterial SSU rRNA". It matches the Rfam family "Bacterial small subunit ribosomal RNA", at positions 355 to 776 of the family's 1533-position model. The record is from RNAcentral.
UGGGGAAUUUUGGACAAUGGGCGCAAGCCUGAUCCAGCCAUGCCGCGUGCGGGAAGAAGGCCUUCGGGUUGUAAACCGCUUUUGUCAGGGAAGAAAUCCUUUGAGUUAAUACCUCGGAGGGAUGACGGUACCUGAAGAAUAAGCACCGGCUAACUACGUGCCAGCAGCCGCGGUAAUACGUAGGGUGCGAGCGUUAAUCGGAAUUACUGGGCGUAAAGCGUGCGCAGGCGGUUAUGCAAGACAGAUGUGAAAUCCCCGGGCUCAACCUGGGAACUGCAUUUGUGACUGCAUAGCUAGAGUACGGUAGAGGGGGAUGGAAUUCCGCGUGUAGCAGUGAAAUGCGUAGAUAUGCGGAGGAACACCGAUGGCGAAGGCAAUCCCCUGGACCUGUACUGACGCUCAUGCACGAAAGCGUGGGGAGCAAACAGG